Molecule: ribosomal RNA, 445 nt
Filed under: uncultured bacterium
Lineage: Bacteria
Description: bacterial SSU rRNA
Rfam family: Bacterial small subunit ribosomal RNA
Source: RNAcentral
ACCAGACUCCUACGGGAGGCAGCAGUGGGGAAUAUUGCACAAUGGGGGAAACCCUGAUGCAGCGACGCCGCGUGAGCGAUGAAGUAUUUCGGUGUGUAAAGCUCUAUCAGCAGGGAAGAAAAUGACGGUACCUGACUAAGAAGCCCCGGCUAACUACGUGCCAGCAGCCGCGGUAAUACGUAGGGGGCGAGCGCUAUCCGGAAUUACUGGGUGUAAAGGGAGCGUAGACGGCGAAGUAAGCCUGAAGUGGAAGCCCGCGGCCCAACCGCGGAACUGCUUUGGGAACUGUUUAGCUGGAGUAUGGGAGGGGUAAGCGGAAUUCCUGGUGUAGCGGUGAAAUGCGUAGAUAUCAGGAGGAACACCGGUGGCGAAGGCGGCUUACUGGACCAUGACUGACGUUGAGGCUCGAAGGCGUGGGGAGCAAACAGGAUUAGAUACCCUUGUA